GAGUGGUGAGCAACGCAGAAAGAGCCUCUCCGAGAUUUGCGGUCCGUACACUGAAAUAUAGCAGCGUGAGGAGGAGAAGGAGUAGGGAACUGGGUCCCCCAGACCCAGGAAGGACCUGGAGCUGGAUUGAAGUCUACAGGGAGUGACGAGAGAGACUUUGACAAAGAGGAGGGAGGUACUUAGCAGUGUUCUGUCCUGAAGCCCAGACUCUCAGUGAGGGAACAGCGGGCCAGACCUGCAGGUACCCAGUGACUACCGAUGACCCCAGAGGCCUCCACGGAGAAAGACGCCAGACGGCAGCGGCUGGCUGGUGACAUGUGACCUGAUGCCCUCUUCCUGAUAAACGCUGCUGCUCCCAGCCAUCCACAGUCAUGAAGCUAAGCAAGUGAUGCUCCAAAGGGCACGUGGUCACCCUGAAGUUAAAGCUGGGCUUCACCAUGAGCUCUCCACCAUGCCGUGCUGGCUCUCACAAGCCCAAAAACAAUGGGGCCAACUUUUCAUGAAAACACCAAGAC
This is a long non-coding RNA of Fukomys damarensis (Damara mole-rat), 515 nucleotides long. RefSeq lists it as uncharacterized. The record is from RefSeq and is a predicted model, not a curated record. The transcript is spliced from 3 exons. Lineage: Eukaryota; Metazoa; Chordata; Mammalia; Rodentia; Bathyergidae.